UCAUACAAAUCACACAACUUAGGUCUUAAAUGCUCAUGAACCUGGAAGGUUGCAACUGGACCCGAAUCCAUAUUGAUGUCCCAUAACUUGAGAGUCAUGUAGUCACGACUAAGUAUGUGUCGUCCAUCCUUAGCGAAUUUAAUAUCUGAGAUUGAAGCAAUUAUCUCUGUAAAAAAUGAUCUUGAGCCUGGUGCCUCCUGUUCCUCAAACAAUUUAGCAUGAGAGUCGCAUAAAGCUGAUUGCCGUAAAUCAAUGAGUCGGAUUGAGCCUCUUGAACUGCUAUAUGCCAACAUGUUGCAAUGGUUGGGGUGGAAUUCUGCAGAUGUUAUAACCUCUGUUAGAUCCUCCAUAUUUGCAGGUUUCACAUCAACAAUAUUGAAACUUUGAUUGCUAAUUUCCAAGUUCCAAAGAUUGAUUCGCAGGUCAUCAGCUGAUAUAAAUGUUUCGCCAUCACUGUUAUUUGAAAUUGAAUUGAUGUGAUAAUCAUGUGCAUGAGCAUAUACCCUUCGACAUCUAGCCACCAGGCUGGUCUCGUUGCUAGUUACCACAGGCAAGUGCAGUGAUGGGAUGCCCCCAGGUGGAAAAGUGAAGUCAUUGCUUGGGUAACCAUAUGACUUCUCUGGCCAACCUCCAUUUGCAAGAUA
Molecule: unclassified non-coding RNA, 644 nt
Filed under: Hevea brasiliensis (rubber tree)
Lineage: Eukaryota; Viridiplantae; Streptophyta; Magnoliopsida; Malpighiales; Euphorbiaceae
Source: RNAcentral